This 126-nucleotide non-coding RNA is filed under the name Actinopolyspora erythraea. Lineage: Bacteria; Bacillati; Actinomycetota; Actinomycetes; Actinopolysporales; Actinopolysporaceae. The record is from RNAcentral.
ACCGAGGAUUGGUCCAACAACCGAACCGGCAGCGGCCGGGGGAAGUCCGGUGCGAAUCCGGCGCUGACCCGCAACGGUGAGCUCGUUCGAGCAAGCCCGAGAACCCGUCGUUGCCGACGACCGCCC